Molecule: ribosomal RNA, 1402 nt
Filed under: Spodoptera litura
Lineage: Eukaryota; Metazoa; Arthropoda; Insecta; Lepidoptera; Noctuidae
Description: 16S ribosomal RNA
Rfam family: Eukaryotic large subunit ribosomal RNA (bases 1095-1254)
Source: RNAcentral
GUGGGGAAAUUAAAAAAUAGAUAAAUUAAUAAAAAAAUUUUUAAAUUAAAUUAUUUUAAUGGGGGUUAAAGUAUUUUUAAAGAAAAAAUUAAUUAAUUUAUAGUGAAUUAGUAUUGUGAAAGAAUUUUGAAAUAAAAUGAAAAAAAAAUUAGUUAAAAGUAAAUUUAAUUUAUUGUAUCUUGUGUAUCAGAGUUUAUUAAAUAAGAAUUAAAAAUUUAAAGUUCUCGAAUUUAAAAGAGAUAAUUAAUUAUGAAAGUUAUUGUUGCAUAAAUAUUUUAAAUAGUUAAUUGGAAAUGAAAUGUUAAUCGUUUUUAAAUAUAUCUAGUUUUUUUAGAAAAAAAUUUAAUUUUAUAUUAUUAAAAUAAAAAAUUAAUUAAUUAAUUUUUUAUUUUAAUAAUAUUAUAUUUUAAGGGAUAAGCUUUAAUUUAAAUUUAUAUAAAUUUAUAUUAAUUUUAAUUAAAAUUUUUAUGAUUUAUAUUGUUAAUAAAUUUUAAUUUAUUAUAAAUAAUUUUAUUUAAAAUAAAAUUUAAUUUAAAUUUUAUAUAUUUAUAAAAAAAAAAUUUUAAAUUUUAUAAAAUUUGUUAUAAUGAUAAAAUUAGUAUAUAUAUAUACAUGUAUUUAAAAUUUUAAUAAUUAAAUAUUUAUUUUAGUUAAUAAAAAGGAAUUCGGCAAAUAGUUAUAUUCACUUGUUUAUCAAAAACAUGUCUUUUUGAAUUUAAUAUAAAGUCUAAUCUGCCCACUGAUAUAAUUUAUAUUAAAGGGCUGCAGUAUAUUGACUGUACAAAGGUAGCAUAAUCAUUAGUCAUUUAAUUGAUGACUUGUAUGAAAGAUUGGAUGAAAUAUAAACUGUCUCUUUAUUAUUUAUAGAAUUUAAUUUUUUAAUUAAAAAGUUAAAAUAAUUUAAAAAGACGAGAAGACCCUAUAGAGUUUUAUAUUUAAAUUAAUUAAGAUUAUUUAUAAAAUUUUUAAUUGAAAUUAUUUUUAAUUAUUUUGUUGGGGUGACAAAAAAAUAAAAAUAACUUUUUUUAAAUUUUAACAUAUAUAAUUGAUUUUAUGAUCCAUUUUUAAUGAUUAUAAGAAAAAAUUACCUUAGGGAUAACAGCGUAAUUUUUUUUUUUAGUUCGAAUAAAAAAAAGAGUUUGCGACCUCGAUGUUGGAUUAAGAUAAAAUUUAAAUGUAGAAGUUUAAAAUUUUUGAUCUGUUCGAUCAUUAAAAUCUUACAUGAUCUGAGUUCAAACCGGUGUAAGCCAGGUUGGUUUCUAUCUUUUAAUAAUUAUAAAAUAUUUUAGUACGAAAGGAUCAAAUAUUUAAAUUAAAUUUAUUUAAUGAAUAUUAUUAAUUUAUUUUAAAUUUAUAUAUUUAUAAUAUAUAUAUAUAUAUAUAUAUAUAUAUAUAUAUAUUU